AGAGUUUGAUCCUGGCUCAGGAUGAACGCUAGCGGGAGGCCUAACACAUGCAAGUCGAACGGGAUUGAGAGCUUGCUCUCAUGAGAGUGGCGCACGGGUGAGUAACGCGUAUGCAACCUGCCUUUAACUGAGGGAUAGCCCAUAGAAAUGUGGAUUAAUACCUCAUAGUUCUUUUGAGUCGCAUGAUUUGGAAGAGAAAGCUCCGGCGGUUAAAGAUGGGCAUGCGUGACAUUAGCUAGUUGGUGAGGUAACGGCUCACCAAGGCUACGAUGUCUAGGGGUUCUGAGAGGAUGAUCCCCCACACUGGUACUGAGACACGGACCAGACUCCUACGGGAGGCAGCAGUGAGGAAUAUUGGUCAAUGGGCGCAAGCCUGAACCAGCCAUCCCGCGUGCAGGAUGACGGCCCUAUGGGCUGUAAACUGCUUUUAUACACCAAGAAAAAUCCGAACGUGUUCGGACCCGACGGUAGUGUAUGAAUAAGCAUCGGCUAACUCCGUGCCAGCAGCCGCGGUAA
Molecule: ribosomal RNA, 516 nt
Filed under: uncultured bacterium
Lineage: Bacteria
Description: bacterial SSU rRNA
Rfam family: Bacterial small subunit ribosomal RNA
Source: RNAcentral